GACAGAGGCCUCAAGCGUUAGGCGGAAUCACUGGGCUUAAAGCGUGUGUAGGCGGAUCGUUAAGUGUCUUGUGAAAUCCCACGGCUCACCCGUGGAACUGCUGGGCAUACUGGCGAUCUUGGGCCAACUAGGGGCAACUGGAACAAGCGGUGGAGCGGUGAAAUGCGUAGAUAUCGCUUGGAGCGCCGAAGGUGAAAACAGGUCGCUGGGAGUGCGCCGACGCUGAGACACGAAAGCCAGGGGAGCAAACGGG
Molecule: ribosomal RNA, 253 nt
Filed under: uncultured bacterium
Lineage: Bacteria
Description: partial 16S ribosomal RNA
Rfam family: Bacterial small subunit ribosomal RNA
Source: RNAcentral